ACGAAAGGGGCGAGCGGUGUUCGGAAUUAUUGGGCGAAAAGGGCGUCUAGGCGAGGGAUUAAGUUGGGUGUGAAAUCCCUGGGCUCAACCCAGGAACUGCAUCCAAAACUGGUUCUCUUGAGUUCGGGAGAGGAGAGCGGAAUUCCCGGUGUAGCGGUGAAAUGCGUAGAUAUCGGGAAGACCACCAGUGGCGAAGGCGGCUCUCUGGCCUAGAACUGACGCUGAAGCGCGAAAGCGUGUGGAGCGAACGG
Molecule: ribosomal RNA, 251 nt
Filed under: uncultured prokaryote
Description: partial 16S rRNA
Rfam family: Bacterial small subunit ribosomal RNA
Source: RNAcentral